RNAcentral lists this ribosomal RNA (1331 nucleotides) under Lactiplantibacillus plantarum. RNAcentral's name for it is "bacterial SSU rRNA". It matches the Rfam family "Bacterial small subunit ribosomal RNA", at positions 70 to 1390 of the family's 1533-position model. The record is from RNAcentral. Lineage: Bacteria; Bacillati; Bacillota; Bacilli; Lactobacillales; Lactobacillaceae.
CAUCAUGAUUUACAUUUGAGUGAGUGGCGAACUGGUGAGUAACACGUGGGAAACCUGCCCAGAAGCGGGGGAUAACACCUGGAAACAGAUGCUAAUACCGCAUAACAACUUGGACCGCAUGGUCCGAGUUUGAAAGAUGGCUUCGGCUAUCACUUUUGGAUGGUCCCGCGGCGUAUUAGCUAGAUGGUGGGGUAACGGCUCACCAUGGCAAUGAUACGUAGCCGACCUGAGAGGGUAAUCGGCCACAUUGGGACUGAGACACGGCCCAAACUCCUACGGGAGGCAGCAGUAGGGAAUCUUCCACAAUGGACGAAAGUCUGAUGGAGCAACGCCGCGUGAGUGAAGAAGGGUUUCGGCUCGUAAAACUCUGUUGUUAAAGAAGAACAUAUCUGAGAGUAACUGUUCAGGUAUUGACGGUAUUUAACCAGAAAGCCACGGCUAACUACGUGCCAGCAGCCGCGGUAAUACGUAGGUGGCAAGCGUUGUCCGGAUUUAUUGGGCGUAAAGCGAGCGCAGGCGGUUUUUUAAGUCUGAUGUGAAAGCCUUCGGCUCAACCGAAGAAGUGCAUCGGAAACUGGGAAACUUGAGUGCAGAAGAGGACAGUGGAACUCCAUGUGUAGCGGUGAAAUGCGUAGAUAUAUGGAAGAACACCAGUGGCGAAGGCGGCUGUCUGGUCUGUAACUGACGCUGAGGCUCGAAAGUAUGGGUAGCAAACAGGAUUAGAUACCCUGGUAGUCCAUACCGUAAACGAUGAAUGCUAAGUGUUGGAGGGUUUCCGCCCUUCAGUGCUGCAGCUAACGCAUUAAGCAUUCCGCCUGGGGAGUACGGCCGCAAGGCUGAAACUCAAAGGAAUUGACGGGGGCCCGCACAAGCGGUGGAGCAUGUGGUUUAAUUCGAAGCUACGCGAAGAACCUUACCAGGUCUUGACAUACUAUGCAAAUCUAAGAGAUUAGACGUUCCCUUCGGGGACAUGGAUACAGGUGGUGCAUGGUUGUCGUCAGCUCGUGUCGUGAGAUGUUGGGUUAAGUCCCGCAACGAGCGCAACCCUUAUUAUCAGUUGCCAGCAUUAAGUUGGGCACUCUGGUGAGACUGCCGGUGACAAACCGGAGGAAGGUGGGGAUGACGUCAAAUCAUCAUGCCCCUUAUGACCUGGGCUACACACGUGCUACAAUGGAUGGUACAACGAGUUGCGAACUCGCGAGAGUAAGCUAAUCUCUUAAAGCCAUUCUCAGUUCGGAUUGUAGGCUGCAACUCGCCUACAUGAAGUCGGAAUCGCUAGUAAUCGCGGAUCAGCAUGCCGCGGUGAAUACGUUCCCGGGCCUUGUACACAC